Molecule: long non-coding RNA, 563 nt
Filed under: Pan troglodytes (chimpanzee)
Lineage: Eukaryota; Metazoa; Chordata; Mammalia; Primates; Hominidae
Description: long non-coding RNA NONPTRT016729
Source: RNAcentral
CGGGCCUCCUCCCCACUCACCUAACGCCACCUCGCAAGCUUUGCGCAGCUGGGAGUGAUGCGCCUUCUUCACUUCCUUGUCGGCCAAUAUCUUCUCCAGAGCCCGGGUCAGGAACAUGUUCUUCGUCUUCUUCCCCUCAUACAUGGACGCAGAGAAGGAGGCGGCGGCUCGUCCGACCCGCGGCUCCCAGCGGCUGGAGGGGAGGAGGAGGAGAGGAAGGAAGAGAAGAGAGAAAGGAGAGGGGGUGGAGGUGGGGGAGUGGAGGCGUGGAGGGCAGCGGCAGGAUCAGGAAGGGGCGGGCGAGCGGGACCAGCCGCGGUGUCGGCGAAGGGCGUCGAGGUCCUCGCCGCCCCCAAGAAGCCGUACCUCGAGGGCCGCGCCCGUCGGGCCUCCGCUUCUCCCGGCCCGGGGGUCGCGUCCCGGCCGCCCCUCUCACUCGUCCCUCCGGCCCUGGUGGCGGUGAGGGAGCCCGGCCCGGGCGGCUGUCUGCCGGGAACUGAGGGACGAGAUGGCGGCGGCUCUCAGAGUGCACGGAACUGCUGUCCAGGACUGUGCUCUCCGAC